RNAcentral lists this long non-coding RNA (322 nucleotides) under Gossypium barbadense (sea-island cotton). RNAcentral describes it as "long non-coding RNA (GBAR_LNC005727)". Lineage: Eukaryota; Viridiplantae; Streptophyta; Magnoliopsida; Malvales; Malvaceae. The record is from RNAcentral.
UUGAUGCCUUUCACUUCCCUCCGAACCUUCUUAAGAAUAAAAUUUCGUAAACAACUCCAAAUAAAAUCUUUAACUUCAGGAGGCAUUUGGCAUGACCACUUUCUUUCCCAAGAACCUUGAGUAAACUAACAAGAUAAAUUAUAAACCUGUCAAGAGCUAGUGUUUAUCCCAAUUUAAUGCUACACAAUACGUUGUUACUGAAAUGCCAUACAAGUUGGUCCAACCCUUGCUGAAGACUUAUAGGAACACUAUAGACUCUACUCGCAUUAACUGGAGCCAAUAUGCCAUCAAUAAAAUUAGUAUCCCACGAGCUGCCUUCCAC